Molecule: ribosomal RNA, 121 nt
Filed under: Pteropus alecto (black flying fox)
Lineage: Eukaryota; Metazoa; Chordata; Mammalia; Chiroptera; Pteropodidae
Source: RNAcentral
AAAAGUGGCCAUGGCGCCCUGAACACGCCCGAUCCCGUCUGAGCUCGGAAGCUGAGCAGGGUCAGGCCCGGUUAGUACUUGGAUAGGAGACCACACCUAGGAAGACCAGGUGCUGUAGGCG